Molecule: long non-coding RNA, 782 nt
Organism: Pyrgilauda ruficollis (rufous-necked snowfinch)
Lineage: Eukaryota; Metazoa; Chordata; Aves; Passeriformes; Passeridae
Exons: 3
Source: RefSeq, a predicted model, not a curated record
GUUGAAUCAGAUGGCAAUGCAGGAGUUGCUGAGGAGACAGCUGCAGGAGUGCUUAGGUCAAGAAGCAACAGGCCUCGGGGGCUGAUGACUACAAAGCAAGUCCCAUCUCUUGUCUGCAUCAGGAAGACUGCCAAGCUCAGGACUCAGAAGCAACUGGAAAGGUGACCAGAACAUCCGAAAAAUACCAAAAUAAACCUCCCCAGUUGGGGAUGGCCUGCCCUCCUGGUGGAACAACAGGAAAAGUGGAAAAUGAAGAGAGAGCCUGGAUGCUGCCUGAGAAGAUAAUACAAUGCAGAAAGAAACAAAGAAGUUCAUAUUCUAGCAGGAGAAAUCAGAACUGCUGUAAGCAAUGAUGAUGUGUGAUGGUGCCCUGUUGCAGGGGCCGAUGGUACAAGCAUGAGGAAAUCUGCACCCAGUGGCUGCUUAAGCUAAAAUGAGAUUGGCCACCAAUAUUAACCAUCUUUUGAGUAGAAUUAGUAAUGGAAAACAACAUCCAGAGAGAAUUUUGAGAGAUAAACAGAAGGCUCAGAAACAUCAGAAAGGAAGGGUCUUUGAAACUGAGAAAAACUGACUGAAAGCCAUCAUCACUUAAACUAUUCUAAUGGAACUGGGACUGCAUUAACUUGGUAAACCAAAAUUUACCCAUAUAAUACAUGACUGUAAUUAAUCUAUUACCAGUGAAGAUUGCUAUUUGGAUUAAAAUAUAAGUAUUUAGCUGCUUGUUGCAAAAAACUGUUGUCUAAAAAAGUUAUCUAAUAACAUGAAGUAAAUUUUCAUACUAA